This 266-nucleotide long non-coding RNA is filed under the name Lathyrus oleraceus (garden pea). Its description in RNAcentral is "Pisum sativum (pea) long non-coding RNA (PSAT_LNC006993)". The record is from RNAcentral. Lineage: Eukaryota; Viridiplantae; Streptophyta; Magnoliopsida; Fabales; Fabaceae.
AAUCCUCAACAAGAACAAAUUUGUGUGGCUACCAAACUAAACAGAAUAAGGGUGACUGAUGCACCAAAAACCUCAUUGGAUCACUAAUCACCACUUCAAAAAGAGAAAACCUUUUGGAAGAUGAACGUUUGCGUCGAACUAGCUGAACGUAGGACUGAAGAACAUCACGAAGAAUGAGUGGGUUAAGAUAGGUUUGAGCCUUAUAUCCUUUCUUUCUGAAACUAUGAACCAGGCCACGUUACAACCCUCAAAAGACCUAAUUGAAG